AGAUUGAACGCUGGCGGCAUGCUUUACACAUGCAAGUCGAGCGGCAGCGCGGGGGCAACCCUGGCGGCGAGCGGCGAACGGGUGAGUAAUGCAUCGGAACGUGUCCCGUAGUGGGGGAUAACCCGGCGAAAGCCGGACUAAUACCGCAUAUGCUCUACGGAGGAAAGGGGGGGACCCGCAAGGGCCUCCCGCUAUGGGAGCGGCCGAUGUCCGAUUAGCUUGUUGGUGGGGUAAUGGCUUACCAAGGCGACGAUCGGUAGCUGGUCUGAGAGGAUGAUCAGCCACACUGGGACUGAGACACGGCCCAGACUCCUACGGGAGGCAGCAGUGGGGAGUAUUGCGCAAGUGGGCAAAGCCUGACGCAGCAACGCCGCGUGAGUGAUGAAGGCCUUCGGGCGUAAAGCUCUGUCGGAGGAACGAAUGCUCGUUGAGGUGAACAGCCUCGAGG
RNAcentral lists this ribosomal RNA (448 nucleotides) under uncultured soil bacterium. RNAcentral describes it as "bacterial SSU rRNA". It matches the Rfam family "Bacterial small subunit ribosomal RNA", at positions 26 to 474 of the family's 1533-position model. The record is from RNAcentral.